UUGUAACAUUUCUGAAGAUUAAAGUCCAAGACAAAAUCAUGAGAUGAAGAAAAUCAAAAAAGAAGACAAUGCCACCUCCAUUUGCAGCCAAGACACGGUGUGCAAACCCCUCCAAAAUGCACUUAAUACCCUAGAAAGAAGGGAUAUAAUGGCUACAAAGCUUAUAAAACCUAGAAGGCCUAAAAACUAGGUGCAUGAUGGACAAGGAGAAAGAAUGAGGAAAUAAUAGAGGAGCCUUCUCCCGGAAGCCAUCGAAGAGGUGCUCUCUUGCUUCUAAAAGGAGGAGUCUUGCUGCGAAGAGAGACACCAGACGGAGAAGAACCAACCAUAGACAGAGCAGAGAGCUGCAACUCAGCUAGCAAGCUCGUUGCUCAGCAGUAGUAGUAGUAGUAUUAUUAGUAGUAGUAGUACUUCUUCAUCGUGUAAUAAGAGCUACAAUAUUGAGAGCAUUUGUAAGCUCGCGAAGGUAGUUAGAAGGAUCUUUGAGGGGCUGUCGAGGCCAAUAAGAUGACUGAGGUGUACACAGUGGUGUAAUAUCCUAAUCAGUACUCACCAUAUUUAUCAUUUUGUUGUUUUAGAUGUAGCUAAGUUCGUUUACUUGAUGUUUUUAGUUACAAAUUCAUGGAGUAAAUUUCUAUCGUCUUCCCAUGGAGUUCCAUCCGAAGGGAACACUUCUCUACGGCCAUAAGGUUCUCAUUCAAAUGCCAUAUUAGGCUACACAGAGAACUACCGACAGAGUUUUCUCCUAUAGGAUCCCUAGCAUAAGAACUCGUCCCAUAAAUCCAUAAAUAAAAAUACCAAGUGAAAACACGAAACUACAUCAUUUCCACAACAUAAUUUACAUAUGGUUUUCCCUUUCGGGAACCCCCGGAAGGUUUACACGAGGGUAAAAUAAAUUAACUUCUGACUACCUUCGCGAGCUUACAAAUGCUCUCAAUAUUGUAGCUCUUAAUACACGAUGAGAAAAUAGUACUACUACUACUACUACUACUACUACUACUACUACUACUACUACUGAGAACGAGCUUGCUAGCUGAGUUGCAGCUCUCUGGUCUAUUUGUGGUUGGUUCUUCUCCGUCUGGUGUCUCUCUUCGCAGCAAGGCUCCUCCUUUUAUAGGCAAGCGACCACCUCUUGGAUGGCUUCCAGGAGAAGGCUCCUCUACUAUUUCCUCUUUUUUUCUCCUUUUCGAUCAUGGACCUAGUUUUUAGGCGUACUAGGCUUUAUAGGCUUUGUAGCCAUUAUAGCCCUUCUUUCUAGGGUAUUGAUUGCAUGUUGGAAGAGUUUGCACACUGUGUCUUGGCUGCCAAUUGAGGUGGCAUUGUCUUCUUUUUUUAUUUUAUUCUUUGUAAUGAUUUUGUCUUGUACUUUAAUCUUCAGAAAUAUACAAUCUUUGGGUA
Molecule: long non-coding RNA, 1398 nt
Organism: Hordeum vulgare subsp. vulgare (domesticated barley)
Lineage: Eukaryota; Viridiplantae; Streptophyta; Magnoliopsida; Poales; Poaceae
Exons: 2
Source: RefSeq, a predicted model, not a curated record